RNAcentral lists this ribosomal RNA (260 nucleotides) under uncultured bacterium. RNAcentral describes it as "partial 16S ribosomal RNA". It matches the Rfam family "Bacterial small subunit ribosomal RNA", at positions 793 to 1055 of the family's 1533-position model. The record is from RNAcentral.
GUCCAUGCCGUAAACGUUGGAUACUAGAUGUUUGGGGUUUUGUGCUUCAAGUGUCUAAGGGCAACCGAUAAGUAUCCCACCUGGGGAGUACGUUCGCAAGGAUGAAACUCAAAGGAAUUGACGGGGCCCGCACAAGCGGUGGAGCAUGUGGUUUAAUUCGAUGGUACGCGAGGAACCUUACCUGGGCUAGAAUGUUAGAGAAUAGUAGAGAGAUUUAUUAGUCAGCAAUGACUCGAAACAAGGUGCUGCAUGGCUGUCGU